GUGUUGUCCAUCCAAACAAUGGAGUUCUUAUAAAAUGGUUGUAGCUUGACCAAUACAGGCCUCUUGGAGCCUCUCCUUUAUAAUUCUGAUGAAAAAGACUGUUGAAGAGUCCUAAUUAUUUAAUUAGAGUUUAUAAUCCAAUAUUUAAAACAGGUCAAUAGUUUCAAUUUAAUCCUUGUAUAAUAAAAACACUUUCUUCAAUAAACACGUUACUUCCCCC
Molecule: long non-coding RNA, 220 nt
Filed under: Mytilus galloprovincialis (Mediterranean mussel)
Lineage: Eukaryota; Metazoa; Mollusca; Bivalvia; Mytilida; Mytilidae
Source: RNAcentral